CAUCUACCAUUCCUCCGGGCCUUGAAGUCUGCCCUCAAAAGCUCCAGACAAGAUGCAUGAGAAAAUAGGCCUGAAAAAGAGAAACCUACGACACCCGAAAACCGGCCUACAUCCCCGUAAUAAAAUCCCCUUUAUGCUUAAGUACACAACUCCCCCAUUACUAUUAGGAAAAUUUAAGAGGUAUUACCAUAGUGAGUUACAGGAGGAAAAAAAACCCCACGACAGUGCCGACCUCACGGAUUUUUACCACACCACUGGCUCUCCCUGCGGGGCUCGUACACUGGGCUGCUGCUCUANNAUCCUCUAUCUAUCCUCCACUCCGCCUGCUCGCCGCCUCCGCGUGGUUGCCAAGCCAAGCCGCACGCUAGCUUCACCUCCAAAUCGUUAGGGCUCGCUCCUUCUUCCUAGCUUCCUUCACCAAGUCGCACUGGCUCCCGGGCUUCUCUUUCCUAUCUUCACGAACUGCUGCUGGCUCCUCAGUCCUAGUUUUCACCGAACACUGGCUCCUGGAAUCCUGUCUGCGGCUCCUGUCUUCCUAGCUUCACUGAAUCCACUUCUGUGUAGCACCUGCGUCAGCUGUUAAUUAGCGCCUACUCGUCAGGAUUUAAACAUUCAUCUUAGCUCAAAGUCCAAUAACUCGAUGGUUAAUUCUUGCUCUUCCAUUUAAUUCACUUAUAAAGUCCUUUACAUUUUCCAAAGGAAACUACGCUACCGCAUUUAAGGCCUUUCAAAUUUUUAACUCUUCCAAAUACAUUCUUAGCUUUUAAGUUACUUCAGUCCCUUUAAGUAACUUUUUGCUAAGAUUUUAAACUGACUUUCUUCUAGUUUCCGGAUUUUCUUCUAAGUUGUUCCUGGUCUACAGUAGUUUUAAAAAACCCUCAUCUUCUGAGAUCUAACUUCCGCACCACCACAAAUAAGCUGAUGGGCUUUUACAAUAAAUUCCUAUCGGCUAUAAAAAUUUCCUCAGUUUUUGUUCCUGUAACUUAUCCAACAUUGAUUUUUAACUAUCUUCUAAAUUUCUGGACGUCUAUCUUGUAUGUUUGCGUCCAAUAGCUUUCUUUUCAUUCUAUCUUAAGCACUCGCCCGUAUUUUCAAUUUUCUCCUAGAUUUGUCUUUUUCUUCUGCCUACUUACUAGGCUCAGGUUUUCUGUCUUCUAAUACGUGUAUCUCUGUCUUCCCUAGUUUUUUCUUCUGCUUCCUGUACUUGUCUUCCGAAUUUUCCACUUCAAACUUCCAAUUUUCUUUCCUACCAUUCCUAAUACUUCCGUCAACUUUAGCCAAACAAAGCCUCAGUAUCAACUAGGCUUCAAAUGACGCCAUUUUUAUUGCGCCGAGAAUUUGCAGGCAUUAUUUCUGAAACCACCUUCAGUUAAAUCUUAAGAUGGCCUUUAUAGUAUAUAGUAUUUUAAUCAUCUACAACUCAACCUUUUAAAACGUUUAGGUUCGAUUUAUGUAACCCAACGUUUUAUGUUAAGGUAAAAGGUUGCCCUUCAACUUAAGGCUUAAGAAAAAAAAUCCAGACUUAGCAGUCCUAGCUCAGACAUUCUCUUAAAAUUUUCCACUCCAUGAAAAAUUUUCAGCUCAUAACUUCCAUCAGGUUCUAAAAUUAUCUUUUUUCUUCCCUCUUCCUUUCUCCAACUACUCUUUAAGUAAGUCUUCAUGUUUUCCCUAAAAUUUAUCUAAGAACUUAAUGCAAAGCAGUAUCUCCGUAUUCUCACUACUUACAAUCCCUAAAGAAACACACUAACGCCUAUCUUUUUUAAUAGAAAAACUUAUCUGCAGGCUCCUUAAGCAGCACCUCCAGCCUUAAAGCAGAUUCUGCGCUCGCUGCCUCAAUGCCUGUCGCUCAGUCCGCAGCAGUGUAUUUAUAGAGGAAGGACAACUCACACCUCCGGUAUUUAAUACUCCUCCGCCGCCUUUGUGAGGAAAGCAAAAAUAGUUCCUCUGAAGAUGUAAAAAUAGAAUCUCAUUUACAAGAGUUUUCUGGACUUUUCCUAACAGUUCAUCCAACUUGCUUGCAACCCCUAUACCUUGUACUUAUUAGCAAGUAGAUUUGAGCUGAAAAUUUGGGCAAAAACAAUGAAAAUCACAUCUAAAUAAACAUUGAAUAGCUCAUAAAAACUAAGCGCCGUUACAUGGGAAUGUUUCUAGUAGCUUUUAAAAUACUUUUCGUGUUUCCUUGGAGUAUAUUGGAUACAAGUCAGUGGUUUUGGAAAGAAGGUUAAACUAAGUUUCCUGACGGCCUUCCUUUCCAUUAUGUAACCGAACUUCAGCCUCACAACGACAGACCGCAGCCAUUUUAGAAGCCGUCAAGUUUUGGGAGGCACCCCCCCCCCCAAAAAAAAAGGUCUCAGGUCCUGCGAGGCGGUUUUGAUGUUUAUACCUCACCUGGCUCAUUUGGCCUUUUAUUCGUAAAAUAGUUACUCCGGGUUAUCCACUUAAGAAUUCUAAUUGUAGAAAUCCACUUCCGGAAAAUAUCUCAACAAAUAUCUCUCGUUUACUGUUGUCCCUGCAACAGAGCUGGACCCAUCUUGAAGGCUUAGAUUCAAAUCGUUAGGGUGGGGUUGUGUUACUUGGCUUUUGUUGUUGAUUUUGUAUUUACUAAAUACCAGCUAGACUCCUACACUUUUGGUAGCCUGUUUAGACAUAGCCUGGACUUUUUGUUCUUUCCAAACGCGUGCUGUUUCAAGUAUCCGGAANNNNNNNNNNNNNNNNNNNNNNNNNNNNNNNNNNNNNNNNNNNNNNNNNNNNNNNNNNNNNNNNNNNNNNNNNNNNNNNNNNNNNNNNNNNNNNNNNNNCGCGUGCUGUUUCAAGUAUCCGGAAAAGCCAACGGUUUCACCGUCAAAGACAGAGCGACCUUCACCUACCACUCGCGGAAGGGACGUGUUCUAAAAUGUUUGUGAACCUUAAGUGUUUACUACGUUUCGUUUUUUUUUUUUUUCCCCCCUACAGAUUUUGUAUUAUCUCUGGUUUGAUUCCCUUAAGACUUUUAAAAGUAGAGCACAAAGGGAAAUAACUUUUUCCUAAACCCAAAGCCUUUUCUUUCUGCAGGUUAAUCAGCAGUCCAUU
Molecule: long non-coding RNA, 3069 nt
Filed under: Capra hircus (goat)
Lineage: Eukaryota; Metazoa; Chordata; Mammalia; Artiodactyla; Bovidae
Description: lncRNA (ENSCHIG00010025650.1)
Source: RNAcentral